GCAGUUACCUGGCAGAGGCGUUACCACGGCCAAGUGGGUGCUUUUCCUAGGGUGAGGCUCAUCCAUGGCACUCAGGGUGUGCUUACCCUGCGAUUUCCCCACAUUGGGGAGGGGGACGGGAUGGAGUGUUUUUGUGCUUUACUCUAAAAAGAAAAA
RNAcentral lists this small nuclear RNA (156 nucleotides) under Peromyscus maniculatus bairdii (prairie deer mouse). Its description in RNAcentral is "U1 spliceosomal RNA (ENSPEMG00000004737.2)". It matches the Rfam family "U1 spliceosomal RNA". Rfam says of the family: U1 is a small nuclear RNA (snRNA) component of the spliceosome (involved in pre-mRNA splicing). Its 5' end forms complementary base pairs with the 5' splice junction, thus defining the 5' donor site of an intron. There are significant differences in sequence and secondary structure between metazoan and yeast U1 snRNAs, the latter being much longer (568 nucleotides as compared to 164 nucleotides in human). The record is from RNAcentral. Lineage: Eukaryota; Metazoa; Chordata; Mammalia; Rodentia; Cricetidae.